This 200-nucleotide ribosomal RNA is filed under the name uncultured eukaryote. RNAcentral's name for it is "partial 18S ribosomal RNA". It matches the Rfam family "Eukaryotic small subunit ribosomal RNA", at positions 586 to 786 of the family's 1831-position model. The record is from RNAcentral.
CAGCUCCAAUAGCGUAUACUAAAGUUGUUGCAGUUAAAAAGCUCGUAGUUGAAUUUCUGACUUUGAGGCGCGACCGACCCCGUGUGGGUCUGUGUCUGUGAAUCGAGGUCAUCCUCGGGGAAUGCGUAUCUGUCAUUAAGUUGAUGGGUACGAGUACCCCGUCAUUUACUGUGAGCAAAAUAGAGUGUUCAAAGCAGCUU